UUUGUUGUUAGAAAAUUCGUUGUCUUAUUACCAAAAAAGAAAAAAAAAUCACCGAACAAAAUGAAGAACAUCGUUGGUUUCUCAGAAAUCAAAUGCGAAAUUCUUUUAGAGACAUCAUUACUUCGUCUCCGUUUAUACUUGUACUUGUUCAAUUCGUGAAUCCUAUGAAGAAAUUCGCAACGGAUUGUCAAGAAGCCGACUGUUAUAUGGGUGAAGGAUGAUUCGCGUUAAAUAUAAGACCAUGGAGGAGGGAAUGUGAUUUUGUUAUUAAAUUAUGCAGUAUAUAUGUAAAAGUAUGUAUUAAGGUGAAGGAUGAUUUGCGAGUAAUAUGAGACUCUGGAGGAGCUACAGUAGCUAUUUAGAAAUAUAUAUAUAUAUGUUGCAGGUGAAGCAUACUUUGCAAGUAACAUAAGAAUGUGGAGAAGGGAAGAGAUAUUUUGUCAUUGGAGAUAUCCAGAAAUCUAUAUUUAAAAGAUGCAAACAGAUGCAGAGAAUAUCGGAGUGAAAUAUUUUCCAACAUUUAUGAACAAUCAAAACGGGUUGAAUCUAAGAUACGCGUCUAGGACGUAUGACGAUGCAUAGGGUCCGCGUUUUUAUCCGAGAAAAUAACCCAGGAUCCGCGUCUUGUAUCUCAUCAAAUUGUCUUAUUUAACCUUCCACGAGAUUUUUAAUUUUCCCUUUAAAUUCAAAAAUACCAAUGGCAUUGUUUGUAAUUAUUCGAUAAAGUAAAGG
Molecule: long non-coding RNA, 732 nt
Organism: Arabidopsis lyrata subsp. lyrata
Lineage: Eukaryota; Viridiplantae; Streptophyta; Magnoliopsida; Brassicales; Brassicaceae
Exons: 6
Source: RefSeq, a predicted model, not a curated record